This 253-nucleotide ribosomal RNA is filed under the name uncultured bacterium. RNAcentral's name for it is "partial 16S ribosomal RNA". It matches the Rfam family "Bacterial small subunit ribosomal RNA", at positions 524 to 776 of the family's 1533-position model. The record is from RNAcentral.
UACGGAGGGUGCAAGCGUUAUCCGGAUUCACUGGGUUUAAAGGGUGCGUAGGUGGGCUGGUAAGUCAGUGGUGAAAUCUCCAGGCUUAACUUGGAAACUGCCAUUGAUACUAUCAGUCUUGAAUACCGUGGAGGUCAGCGGAAUAUGUCAUGUAGCGGUGAAAUGCUUAGAUAUGACAUAGGACACCAAUUGCGAAGGCAGCUGGCUACACGAAUAUUGACACUGAUGCACGAAAGCGUGGGGAUCAAACAGG